Molecule: long non-coding RNA, 779 nt
Filed under: Monodelphis domestica (gray short-tailed opossum)
Lineage: Eukaryota; Metazoa; Chordata; Mammalia; Didelphimorphia; Didelphidae
Description: lncRNA (ENSMODG00000032385.2)
Source: RNAcentral
AAUCCUGAUUUUCCCAACUGUGUGUUCUACCCAGAUUCCUGUGAUCAUGGCUUCAAACAAAAGGAUUGAAGGGGAGCUGUUUGAACUGUAAGGCCGGUCUUUAGGGGUGUCAGUACGAAGAGACAGGCCCAACCAGCUCUGAAGAAGCCAAAGUUGAUAAUAUGCAAGCAGUGAAUUCAAUAUCCAUUGAAAAUACAUUUCUGCCUUGACAAGAGAUACUGAGGAUUCAGCUGGAGUCCUCAGGUGCAGUAGGAGAAUGUAGUGGUCUGUGGAGCUCUGAUGCAGGCUGAUUAAUAUGCUGCUAAAUGCUCUUUGGAGUCCAGCCAGGAGAAAUAUAAACAACAAAAUCACUCACUAUGUCCUUUAUUUGGAGAAGAGACUUAGGAAUGGAGAAAGAACAAGAGAAGAUUCUAAGACAGAGAUGCCUGUGAUGUCAGAUGGUUUUCCGGGAGCUUCACCCAAUGCUGCAUUAGCAAGACUACUUGAGCUCAGAAUCUAGACAGUGGAUCACCAUUGCUAUAUGAAGCUGGCUCGUGCCAAUGUGCCUGCCCUCUGUGGCCAGGAGGUGUGGUUUUAAAAGUGACAUGGCCAACCGGCCAAGCCUACCACAGAUUCUUCCAUCACGCUGUAGAUUCUAAUGCCACUUCAACAUUUUCUAAUGCUUUUUUUUUUGUUGAGAAAGCUUGACUAUCUCCAUUGUUUAUGUUUCCCUUUGUUUAUUUGUUUUAUUUUGUUUUUGUUUUUCCAGGUUGGUAAAUAAAUCUGCUAGAUAUACUUCA